AUUCUGAUAAGAAUUUUGGUUUGUGUAUACCAUUUUUUUUAAUCCAACAUGCAAACGAUUUGCUUUAUUCCAGUAGUUGAAAGUAUAUUUAAAAUGUAAAUCAACUCACCAAUUACGCUCCAAUUUUUUUGGGGCGGCUGUACUGUAGUUUACUUUUUCCACCCCUCCUCUUCCUCCUCCCACUAAAAACAAACAAGAUGGCAGCAACCGUUUUUGGUUCUGGGCCGGGCUCAAUGUGGGCGGAGUCAUACUUCGGGGCCGGGCUCAAAGUGGAUGGAAUCAAACGGCGGGGCCGGGCUCAAUGUGGCAGAGUCAUACUUCGGGGUCAGGCUCAAAAUACUUUGGGGCCGGGCUCAAAGUGGGUGGAGUCAAACGCGUUAACCCGAACCCUUCCCGUCUCCUUCAAGGUCACCCAAGUUCUUAAUCGAACCUGACCUACAUGGAUAAAAAUAUAAACCAUAGAAGUGAGACUGUCAUUAUGCAUAAUGUACUUUGUAAUAUUCAUGUUAUACCAGUGCAGUGGUACAUUUUUAUAUGACCAACUACCACACCGAUGUUAGCAUCGGUUAAUUAGUGCCCAUUUGCACUUGAGGUAGCUAAUUGCUCUCAAUGAGGGAAUCUUAUUUGGACAAAUUUGCCUACUUGAGCAGUAAGCCUAGGUUUGUAGUUAUGUAAUUGAUUUGAUCGUUGAUUUUCUGUGUUUCUUCAAUGUAUGGCUUGUUGUGUUUGGCUGGCUCUAAAUGUGUAUUGUUGAUGCCAUUCCCUUAGUUACACAUAGCGAGUCUACACAAAGUGUAAAUACAAUAAUGAAAUCACCUGGUCCCAACAUGCAUGGCAAGUCAAGAAAAGUCAUUGUAACUUGUCCACACUGCAAACUGAAGUUAAAUAAGAAAAACUUCAAAACACAUUUACGAAGAAAGCAUACACAUUGCUUUGAAACAGUGUCCAAUGCAAGAUUUUUGUCAGAAACAUUGCUCAGAUCUUGUCCUGUGGACCUUGGAGGACUUUUGUUGUGGAUGAUGUUCAGGAAAACAUGCAGCAAAUUAGGCCAUGGUGGCGCCUAGUUCUCCUGCAGAACUUUCCCAUGCCGUAAGUCUUGAACAUUAUAAAAACGUUUCAUUUGCAUCCUUAAUCACUUGUUUCACUGUAGCCAGACUGACCUGAAUAUAUUUUCAUAUUUAAUGCAUGUCAUUCACUCACUAAUGUCUGAAGAAGAGAGGUUGAAAGAUCGAAAAAGGUGGCGAAAACAAAACCCACUACAGGAUGAUGUAGAAGACGUCCUCCACACCAAGAAGUCACAGCAUGUCACAUCAGCAUCCAGCUCUGCAGGAUCAGAUGAUACUGAAAACAAAAUGCACGGCGAGCUGUGAACUGGGAAGCAGAUGUUCUUCUAAGGGACACCUUGGAGGCAGCAAGGUGGUGCGAACGCCAAACAUUUAAAGGCACUGUUUCCCUCCCUAGUGUAAUUGGGAUGGACGGGGAAUACCCCAUUACAACCCUUAAAGAACUACGGUGGUAUGAUGGCCUGGAUGAAGAGGAAAAUAUUCUCAAGGAACCAUUCAUGUUACAGAGAAAUUAAGAUGUUCUAUGUGGAGGAAGUUGACAACAAGAAAAUGACUGCCUUUGCCUCUUUUGAGGAGCAGGAGUGAAGCCAUUUUUGAGGAGUGGUCAAACCUUGUUUUUG
RNAcentral lists this long non-coding RNA (1684 nucleotides) under Salmo salar (Atlantic salmon). RNAcentral describes it as "lncRNA (ENSSSAG00000098920.1)". The record is from RNAcentral. Lineage: Eukaryota; Metazoa; Chordata; Actinopteri; Salmoniformes; Salmonidae.